CGUGGGUUUUACUUCUUUUCCCGAUUUUCUCCCCCAUCCCACUGGGGGGGGGGGGGGGGGGGGGGGAGUGAGUGAGCAGUUGCGUGGUGCUUAGUUGCUGGCUGGGGUUUAACCAUGACAGUCCAUUUUGACACAAAAUGUGG
Molecule: long non-coding RNA, 143 nt
Organism: Aquila chrysaetos chrysaetos
Lineage: Eukaryota; Metazoa; Chordata; Aves; Accipitriformes; Accipitridae
Exons: 3
Source: RefSeq, a predicted model, not a curated record